UUUUUUUUUUUUUUUUCAGCAGUAGUACAUGCUAAUAAAGUAUUGAGUAGACAAAAGACUCGUCAUCACGUCGUCGUCCACGUCGGUAGAAUUGCACAUAUAGUAUACCUCUGUAUGUGUCUUGAGAGACCAGGGAGAGAGAUACCAGCUUGUACAGAUCGCCAGCGCCAACACUGCUGAUCCUGUGCUUUCGUUGGUUUGUGCCGGUGUACGUACGUGACUUCACGGAUCAUGAUAGAUUGAUAGCUAGCUAGGGGGAGCUAGCUUCGAGUGUGUGCCGCUUAAAUUUGUUCAUAUCUUUAAGCUGCAGACGCGAGCUAGCAGGGAUUCAUUCAAUCCAGCCG
This 344-nucleotide long non-coding RNA is filed under the name Zea mays. RNAcentral's name for it is "long non-coding RNA NONZMAT002049". Lineage: Eukaryota; Viridiplantae; Streptophyta; Magnoliopsida; Poales; Poaceae. The record is from RNAcentral.